AUACGAAGGGUGCAAGCGUUGUUCGGAAUCAUUGGGCGUAAAGGGCGUGUAGGCGGAAUCGUAAGUCAGGUGUGAAAGCCCGGGGCUCAACCUCGGAAGUGCGCCUGAAACUACAAUUCUAGAGUCUCGGAGAGGAAAGCGGAAUACCACAUGUAGAGGUGAAAUUCGUAGAUAUGUGGUGGAACACCAGUGGCGAAAGCGGCUUUCUGGACGAUGACUGACGCUCAGACGCGAAAGCAUGGGGAGCAAACAGGAUUAGAUACCCUGGUAGUCCAUGCUGUAAACGAUGUGCACUAGAUGUUGCGGGUGUUGACCCCUGCAGUGUCGCAGCUAACGCAGUAAGUGCACCGCCUGGGGAGUACGGUCGCAAGACUAAA
Molecule: ribosomal RNA, 377 nt
Filed under: uncultured Bacteriovoracaceae bacterium
Lineage: Bacteria; Pseudomonadati; Bdellovibrionota; Bacteriovoracia; Bacteriovoracales; Bacteriovoracaceae
Description: bacterial SSU rRNA
Rfam family: Bacterial small subunit ribosomal RNA
Source: RNAcentral